GAUGCGCGAGUUGAUGUCAUGAUGUCAGCGUUUUCAUAAAGCUCCGUUUUUCUUGUGCACACGAAGACAGAGGAACCGGAGUUUUGAAAAAUCUCCACCUUGGAAGGCGUUUUCAAAAAGCUUUGUUUUCAGUGACCUAAAACGCCGUUUUCGUGUGGACGGGAGGCCAUUUCAUUAUUGGGAGAAGUUUGCGCCAUCUUUCCACAAUCUCCGGUGGAUAGUGCUCAUUCACUGAGUAAGGCUUGUCUUUUAGUUCGCGUCCUCUGUCUAGGAUUGCAAUCUUAACCUUAAAGUUAGAAAAUUUUGCCACAAUCAGGCAAGGUCUGUUGGCAUCCUGCUCUUUGAGUCCCAUCCGAUGCACUCAUUCAAAUGCCAUUUCUUCGGCGGAGACAAGAUUGUCCCGCAUGCUCCUACAUCGGAGGACUGACAUGAUACGGUCUGCUUCUGUAAAUUCGUCGGUGUUUGAUCCUUCUUCUAUUUCACUGGAGACGCAACGAGAAAGAACCCUGUGUCAAGGGCCGCCAGUGAGAAAGAAGUAGAGGGCUACACAAUUCGCUGGCUGAAUUACUCAAGCGACCGAGGAGAUGGACGAAGGAAUAGGAAUAGGGAGUUUAGGCGUAACCAGAAUUAAACCAUAUUAAUCAACUUAUUUCUUUUUAGAUUUGUUGUUAAAUAUUAACCAGCAGAUAUAAUAAACAUUAUUAUUGUUAUUGCA
Long non-coding RNA from Anguilla rostrata (American eel), 715 nucleotides. RefSeq lists it as uncharacterized. NCBI's taxonomy places the organism in Eukaryota, Metazoa, Chordata, Actinopteri, Anguilliformes, Anguillidae. The transcript is spliced from 3 exons. The record is from RefSeq and is a predicted model, not a curated record.